This 71-nucleotide transfer RNA is filed under the name Onychodactylus fischeri (Fischer's clawed salamander). RNAcentral describes it as "tRNA-Ser". It matches the Rfam family "tRNA". From Rfam's summary of the family: Transfer RNA (tRNA) molecules are approximately 80 nucleotides in length. Their secondary structure includes four short double-helical elements and three loops (D, anti-codon, and T loops). Further hydrogen bonds mediate the characteristic L-shaped molecular structure. tRNAs have two regions of fundamental functional importance: the anti-codon, which is responsible for specific mRNA codon recognition, and the 3' end, to which the tRNAs corresponding amino acid is attached (by aminoacyl-tRNA synthetases). tRNAs cope with the degeneracy of the genetic code in two manners: having more than one tRNA (with a specific anti-codon) for a particular amino acid; and 'wobble' base-pairing, i.e. permitting non-standard base-pairing at the 3rd anti-codon position. RNAcentral also lists the same sequence under 1 other name. The record is from RNAcentral. Lineage: Eukaryota; Metazoa; Chordata; Amphibia; Caudata; Hynobiidae.
AAGUAAGUGACAGAGUGGGUUUGUGGUUGAUUUGAAAUCAAUUUAUGAGGGUUCAACUCCUUCCUUACUUG